UCAGUGUGGGUUUUUUUUCGAGUCUUGUUAGUUUACCAGUUUUUGGACGCAAUAUGAAGUUUACACUAUCUGUGGCUGUGAUUUCGUCGCUGGUGCUCUUGGCCCAGACGGACGAGAAGAAAGGAGUGGAGAAGCGGCACUUGGGCCUGGGCGCGGUAGGGUGGCCGUCAACCCCGACGUGGCCCUCGCCGUCCUGGGCGUCCCCAUCAGGUUGGCCGUCGGCGGCCUCUUCAGGAUGGCCGUCGGCGGCCUCUUCAGGGUGGCCCUCGGCCUCGACCGGUGUCGUGGACCUCACCUCGGCCACCGCCGGCCUCACUCCUUCCUGGCCUGAGGUCGGCUGGCCCUCCGCCUACAACCAGCCCGAACUCGCCUACUCCAAGGCGGUGGCUCACACAUCGGCCCUGAACGGAGUAGCAGCAAUCAACGCAGCCGAGGUGGCAGCCGCCCUGACGGCAGCGAAAGAGGCCUCGACAGCAGCCGCCCUGGCCCAGCAACGCGUGCAGGCGGCCAAGGAGGCCGUCCUCGUGCAACAGCGGAUCGCGGCCGCGAAGGAAGCGGCAGCAGCGGCGGCCAUCCAGCGCUCGGAGGCGGCCGCUGCCACGGCGGCAGCCAUCCAACGCUCCGAGGCGGCAGCCGCGGCCAUCCAACGCACCGAAGCCGCCGCCCAGGCCGCCGCCGCCCUCCAACGCUCCGAGGCCGCCGCCGCAACCGCCGCCGCCAUCCAACGAUCCAGGCCGCCUCCGCCGCCAUCCACAAACAGGCGCAGCUCGCCGUCCACCCCUCCGGCCACUGGCAACCCUCCUCCAAGCCCUGGAACGCUUGGGGAUAAGCACACCGAGGAGUCAGCCACACAACGUGGGUCGCCACCAGCAGCAUCCUAAAUACCACAACCGCCUCAUUCUUCAAAUUCAUCGACAAAUCCACAGCCAUAGAAGACAUGGGGGAUGUAGAGCCAUCCUCUUUCUUGAAACGGGUACGCUUCUGCCUCCUAUACUGCCGUGCUAAGGAAAAACGCCGUAUGAAACUUCAGGCGUUGCCUAAUUUCUUUUGAUAAAACACAAAUUUCCUGAUAAACUUACGAAUAUUUUCCUUCUAAUAUUUCAGAUAAUUUUGAUCGCAAUUUCAUUUAAAGUUCCUGAAAUUUUCAAGGAAAAAUAUUCAUAACUUGCCUCAAAAAUAAACAUUUUAUCGAAGGAAAUUUGGCAAAUCUCGAAUGUUCAUUCGGCGUUCUUCCUUAGCACGGCAGUAUAGACUAAGGGAGAAAUUGAUCGACUAAAUAAAGGGUCUCUCCUGGGUUGCCAUUAGAUAGCCUACUAAGUACCAGCCACCUUAGUUCAUUGAAACCACCCGCUUUCACCAGUUGGAUCUCGCGGAAAGUCCAUUUGGCAAUAAAUUUUACAAAUCAGGUCUCAUUGGAUGUUUUAAUUUUUAUGCGAACCAGGGCCGGAUUUACCUAGGUACUUGCCGCCUGUUUUUUGCCGCCCCCUUCUCAUUCGUUUUGAAACAUCAAUAAAAACAAUCAAGUGAACGUGCCGGAAGGGGAGGGGUGCAUAAGACGCGUUUACCUACUCGUGUUGAGUACAUUUUUUGCGAAAGUCCUGUCAACACUACUGGCAAAAUUUCACGGAACUUAGCGCGAAAGUUAAGUUCCGUAAACAUAUCUCUGUGUGAACAAGGUCCUCCAUUUAUAAGAAAUGAACCAAAAAUUGAAAGAACAAACAUAAAUGUGGUUUAAUAAUUUUAACUUCCGCCGCUGCGCCGGGCUGAUCGCACCACAGUGCGAAAUGGCGCAAUAUUUACCUUUAAUAUACAUUUGGCGCAAUGCGUGAAGUAUUCCAGCAGUCUUGUAGGCGCUACGGCGCUACGCGUUUCACGCCAACUGCUCCUGACCGGCCGGCGGCGCACUGUGUUUAACGCAAUGGGUGAAGUAUUCAUGCAGUCUUGUAGGCGCUAAUAUGUGUUUAUUGUGGCUCUAAUUGUGUGCGACUGCAGUGCCGAGGGCUUGUCCUUUUCAUCUCAAGUCCUCGUCGUCAUUCCUCUUUGCGCUGAGCUCCAGGCCAAAUUGCGUGUUUAGUUCCUCUCUUAACUCGACUAAUUAAAGAUGCUGUCUCUUUUAUCACCGAAAAACGAUAAAAUUAGAAAUUACUAUACUCUCAGGAAAGAGAGAUUUUGUCCCCUUUUCUCAUUGAUAAUUUUUUUUUCUAAAUCCAAUUUUUUAAUACCUACAUUUAAAAAAAUUGCAAAAUUUGCCGCCCCCUAAAGCCGCGGCCCAUGUGGCAGCCCCCUUAAUCCGGCCCUGAUGCGAACCAUUCUAAAAUGAUCAGUGACGCUGCUCAUAGAAUCGUAUCCAGAUGAUAGCACCUUAUGGAUUGGCUAAGAAAAUGAAAGAUAAAAAUCUGUCAAGACGCAAAAGUCUACCUACGUCCAAUAUGAAUGGAGACGGAUGUACAUAAAAAAACACGGGGUAUGACAUCAUCCGCCGCGGCAGUGCACACAUUGGUUUUUCAUUUUAGUUUUAUCGAUCAAUUAUACUCUUAUUUGCGCUGGUCGUUCAAGGUAAAACAUGGAUAAAACUUAAGUGGAAGAAUCCAUGCACUAACGCGGCGGAUGACGUCAUCAGCCAGCGAAAAGCGAUAGCGAGUGAUAUCUCCGUUGUUAUUGGUCAUAGAAAUUAGGUUUUUGGACGAACCGUAUGCACCUAUUGUUGCUAAUCUAUAUAAGCUUACAAAUCAGACGAUGAACACAUGAUUCUAAGACUAGUGUAACUGACCCACUAUUGCUGUUGUAUCGGUGUGUUGUGUAUGUUGCCUAUUCGGUAAUUGAAGGUGUUCCUCUCGCUCUGGUUGUUCACUCUAUAUUUCUCAUUUAGACGGCGUUAUGCCGCACAUAGAGUAAUUACCAGAGGCAUCGCCCGUAGCUCGUGGCUACACUGCGCUGUUUGUAUAAAUAUUGUUUUUUGAUGAUCAAUACACGCUCACUUAUAACUGAAGCUUGUGUUUGUCUAAUUCUUACCUAUCGAUUUUACUCAGUUUUUUCAUGAGCCUGAUUUUUUUUCUUUUUUUUUUAAAAUCAGGCAACUUGCGGGUGACCUAAUGAAGCUGAUUUUAUUUCAUGUUCCUUGAAUUAAGCACACGUGGAAAGCUGAUAUCUUGAAUAAAAUGACUCAAA
RNAcentral lists this long non-coding RNA (3168 nucleotides) under Bemisia tabaci. Its description in RNAcentral is "lncRNA ENSSSA3NGG014472". The record is from RNAcentral. Lineage: Eukaryota; Metazoa; Arthropoda; Insecta; Hemiptera; Aleyrodidae.